Molecule: ribosomal RNA, 373 nt
Filed under: uncultured organism
Description: partial 16S ribosomal RNA
Rfam family: Bacterial small subunit ribosomal RNA
Source: RNAcentral
GUAGGGUGCUAACGUUGUUCGGAAUUAUUGGGCGUAAAGAGCGUGUAGGUGGCUUUGCAAGUCGAAUGUGAAAUCCCUGGGCUUAACCGAGGAAGUGCAUCCGAAACUGCAAGGCUAGAGGACGGUAGAGGAAGGUGGAAUUCCUAGUGUAGAGGUGAAAUUCGUAGAUAUUAGGAGGAAUACCGGUGGCGAAGGCGGCCUUCUGGGCCGUUCCUGACACUGAGACGCGAAAGCGUGGGGAGCAAACAGGAUUAGAUACCCUGGGUAGUCCACGCCGUAAACGAUGGGUACUAGGUGUUGCGGGAAUUGACCCCCUGCAGUGCCGACGCUAACGCAUUAAGUACCCCGCCUGGGAAGUACGGCCGCAAGGUUA